GUCUGCAACCCGACUACAUGAAGCUGGAAUCGCUAGUAAUCGCGGAUCAGAAUGCCGCGGUGAAUACGUUCCCGGGUCUUGUACACACCGCCCGUCACACCAUGGGAGUCGGAAAUGCCCGAAGUCUGUGACCUAACCGUAAGGAAGGAGCAGCCGAAGGCAGGUCGGAUGACUGGGGUGAAGUCGUAACAAGGUAAC
This 198-nucleotide ribosomal RNA is filed under the name uncultured bacterium. RNAcentral's name for it is "partial 16S ribosomal RNA". It matches the Rfam family "Bacterial small subunit ribosomal RNA", at positions 1303 to 1500 of the family's 1533-position model. The record is from RNAcentral.